UCUUGGUGGGCUCCUUAACAGUCUGUCACUGUUAAGUACAAAAGAUGAAGGAACACUGGGGCUGGCUGGGGGAAAAGAGGAAACUUUGUUCCAGAAGGAACUGUCUGAGGGAU
Mus caroli (Ryukyu mouse) is the source of this 113-nucleotide small nucleolar RNA. RefSeq annotates it as small nucleolar RNA SNORD22. NCBI's taxonomy places the organism in Eukaryota, Metazoa, Chordata, Mammalia, Rodentia, Muridae. The record is from RefSeq and is a predicted model, not a curated record.